AUGUUGAUUAUUCAAUUAACUAACCGAACUGGUAAAGGAGACGCCAGUCUGUCCAUCUGGGGAUGGGGGGGUCUUGGAGUUGUGCUGUUUUUUGUCACCUUUGGACCUUUCGCCAUAUUUUACCUGGCAUUUUAUAUCUUCUGCUUCAUUGGAGGGGGAUUUGCGGUUACAUUGCUUUACGGGAAGAUAAACUCAGAGAAACACUUGGAAAAGUGCGAACAUUCAUACCUGCCACCUACACAACCCGGUAUUCUGAAGACACUUGAUGAGAUGAAGCUGGAGCUGAAGCCUAUAAAGAUUGACAGGAGACUGACUGGCUCCAGUUUCAUUGAUGAGCCACUACAGCAGGUGAUCCAGUUUGCACUGAGAGACUAUAUUCAGUACUGGUACUACACUCUGAGUGAAGAUGAGUCGUUCCUGUUGGAGAUCAGACAAACACUGCAGAAUGCCCUCAUCCAGUUCUCCACACGCUCAAAAGAAGUGGACUGGCAGCCUUACUUCACUACACGCCUGGUGGACGACUUUGCCACACAUCUACGUGUCUUCAGAAAAGCGCAGGAUCGCCUGGCUGAGCGGGAGGACAAGCAAAGGGACACCACAGAAGAGCUGGUCGACUCCUUCUUCGAGGCAGAGGUGGAGAUGGAGAGGAAGGUUUGUCGAGACAUGGUGUGCACCUCACACAAAGAUGAAGAAGGUUUUCUUCGGGACUUGUGCGAGUUGCUUCUCUAUCUUUUACUACCUCCCGGAGACUUCCACAACAAAAACAUGAGAUAUUUUUUGAGGGAAGUUCUAGCGUGUGGUGUGCUGCUGCCUCUGAUCAACCAGCUAAGCGACCCAGAUUACAUCAACCAGUUUGUCAUCUGGAUGAUUCGGGACUCCAGCUGUAACUAUGAAGCCUUCAUGAACAUUUUGAAGUUAACAGACAAGCCUACUGAGUUGGAGGCAGUUAAAGACAAGGUUCUGGAGGAGCUGCAGUACUUGCGCUCUCUGGACACUGCUGGAGAUGACAUCAAUGUGAUCAAGAACCAGAUUAACAGUCUUCUGUUUGUGAAGAAGGUGUGUGAGACCAGGAUCCAGAGACUCCAGUCCGGAAAGGAGGUCGACGCCUUGAAACUGGCGGCCAACUUUGGGAAGCUGUGUGUGAUCCCUCUAGAACACAUCCUCGUCCAUAACAUUGCACUGCAGUUCUUUAUGGACUUUAUGCAGGCGGCGGGUGCUCAGGCGGAGCUGUUCUUCUGGCUCACUGUUGAGGGCUACAGGGUGACGGCCCAGCAGCAGCUGGAGGCCAUGCUGAGCUGCCAGAAAGACGGCAAGAAGCAGCCCAGCGCCACAAAGGGGCUGCUGAAAGCUGCUGCUCUAGGUGUUUAUGAACAAUACCUCUCUGAAAAGGCAUCUCCCAGGGUCCAAGUUGACAAAACAUUAAUAACAAAACUGGGGGAGAAGCUCCAAAAUGAUGACCCCACACCUGAAAUCUUUGAUGAAAUCCAGAGAAAGGUGUACGACAUGAUGCUACGUGAUGAGCGCUUUUACCCAGCCUUCAAGCAGAGCCCUCUGUACGUACGCAUGCUGGCAGAGCUGGACAUGCUGAAGGAGCCGAGCUACAGAGGAUCUGAUGACGGCGAGGGAGAAUCCUUUAACGGCUCACCCACUGGAAGCUUAAACCUGGUUAGUUGUCAACUCACCCUAAUUUUUUUUUAUACUUCCGGGUUUGAGUCUGGCGCCACAUAUGAUACAUAUGCCGAGACAUUUCGCGAUAUGUACAUGAAUACAUUUCCUUCUUUUGUUUUUUUUUUAAGAGUAUGA
Molecule: long non-coding RNA, 1803 nt
Filed under: Oryzias sinensis (Chinese medaka)
Lineage: Eukaryota; Metazoa; Chordata; Actinopteri; Beloniformes; Adrianichthyidae
Description: lncRNA (ENSOSIG00000022624.1)
Source: RNAcentral